Long non-coding RNA from Meriones unguiculatus (Mongolian gerbil), 657 nucleotides. RefSeq lists it as uncharacterized. The record is from RefSeq and is a predicted model, not a curated record. Lineage: Eukaryota; Metazoa; Chordata; Mammalia; Rodentia; Muridae. The transcript has 3 exons.
AAAGAAGAGGACUGGGCUCAAAUGACUGGUGCCAUCCCCAGAAACCUCCCGGGCAGAACUGUCAUAGCGCGUGUACCACCCUGGGGUCACCACCCUUCUAUCUAAAGGUUCCGAAUGGGAAAAGUCCUAGGGAGAGUAAGUCGGUUAGUGGUUGACUGAGAAGAAAGGAGAGGACUGCAAGAAAGGAUCGGUGACUACAAGCAGAUGCAUACCUAAAGCACCAGCUAUGCUAGAGGAUGAAGCAGAAGAAUCACUUGAACCCAAGAACAUCAAGGGCAGCCAGGGCAAGCCUGUGAGAUCCCAGCUCACACAGAAUCAGAGAGAGGUCGUGUUUGUUGUGCUUUUGCUUUUGCUCAAACAUGCGAAAGUUUUCUUUGAAUUUUGCUGCCAGUUUUCAGAAAGAGGUGUCAAAAUAAGGAAAGCUGUCCUUUCUGCAAAAGCUACCACAGUCCCUCUGGGUGUUCUAAACUAUUGAUAGAGGAAAAGAACAAACUCUUACAAGGGGAGCUGGAGCUAAGAUUUCUAUCACACAGGUGAGACAACACUGCCUCUCCACCCUGGCUGUCUACAAGAACCAUCCCAGUAACUUGAAGAGUCAGUGGUGACUCUGCCCUUCAGAUCAAGUCAAUAAUCUGAGGCAGGAUGUGCGGAUGAGAA